Acinonyx jubatus (cheetah) is the source of this 10370-nucleotide long non-coding RNA. RefSeq lists it as uncharacterized. The transcript is spliced from 5 exons. The record is from RefSeq and is a predicted model, not a curated record. Lineage: Eukaryota; Metazoa; Chordata; Mammalia; Carnivora; Felidae.
UCUCCUGGAGGGAAGGGGCAGGUAGAAGGGCAGGGGGCUGGAGUACUCUGGCCAGGCUUUCUUGAAAGAGGACAGGGACUCGGUUUCAGGGCCUCACACCAUGAUCCAGUUGUUUCUGCAUUUACUUAAUUUUUUUUUUUUUACUUGCACAGUUGACACACAAUAUUGCAUUAGUUUCAGGUGUACAAUGUAGUGAUUGAACCCCUCAAUACAUUAUACUGCGCUCCCCGUGAGUCUAGCUAUCAUCUGUCACCAUCAUACAGAGCUAUUACAAUACCACUGGCUCGAUUCCUUAGGCUAUACCUUUUAUUCCCGUGACUUAUUCAUUCCGUAGCUGGAAGCCCAAUUUCCUUUUUCUAAAGGUUUUCUUUUGUCCUAGAGCUGUAUCAUGUAUUUUAAAGGUGAAUACAAAUGCUCAGUUAGUUAACAUAACUUUUUUUAGGGGUAGAGUUACUUUUUCCUUUCAUGUGGUCAGAUGGGGAGGUUUUACAAACUUGGUUUCUACACUAGUUUCAGGGGAGAGAGGUAGCAUGCAAAGUGGGUCUGAAAUCUUAGGACGGUAAGAAAAAUCAAGAACUUGUACCUUACCUUAAAAAGAUUUAAACAAGUGAAAAGAGAACCAACUUUUAGCCACUCAAAGCAUUUAGUUCUGCUUUCGUGUAUUGCCAAAUACUAAAAGAAACAUUAAUCUCCUAUCUUUGGGUGAAAGUGGGCAUCCUUUUUUUUUUAAUGUUUUUUUAUUUUGACACACAGAGGGUGUGGGGGAAGGGCAAAGAGAGAGGGGGAGAGAGAGGGAGAGGGAGAGAGAGAGAGAGAGAGAGAGAGAGAGAGAGAGAACCCCAAGCAGGCUCUACACUGUCAAUGCAGAGCCUGACAAGGGGCUCCAUCUCACAACUGUGAGAUCAUGACCUGCGCCAAAAUCAAGAGUUGGCUGCUUAACCGACUGAACCACCCAGUUGCCCCGAGGGCAUCCUCUUCUUAAAUUCAGAGCUGCUGUUCAGAAACAUAGUCUUCCUGGUACAUGAGGACUGGAGUCUGUAAGUUCACACAGAGCUGUGAGGAUGCCUGGGGUCCAAAACACCCAAGGGGAACCCAGAGGCCUGGCCAAUGCCAUUCUAGCAUCUGGUGUCCAUUGUUCAACCAAGGGAGUUUGGUUGAACAAAAGAAUCCUCUCACCAGUCAGUGUUAGGAAAAAUUAAGUAGCAUUCUUUUUAAAAUUUUUUUAAUGUUUAUUUUUUUGAGAGAGAGCACAAGCAGGGGAGGGGCAGAGAAAGAGGGAGACACAGAAUCCGAAGCAGACUCCAGGCUCUGAGCUGUCAGCACAGAACCCGAUGUGGGGCUCGAACCCACGAACCUCAAGAUCACGGCCUGAGCCGAAAUCGGACACUCAACCGACGGAGCCACCCAGAUCCGGUUUCCUCCAACAGAAGCAACCACCAUUACUUGUUCCUCUCGCACCCUUCCAGAGAGAAUACGAGGAUAUCCAAGCAUGUAAGCGCAUACCCAUGCACACACACAGCAAUAUAGCCUGUUUCCACCUUAAUCUUUUCACUCAAUUUGUCUUCAAGGUUGUUACUAAACUUAUUCCUGCGUACUUCAUUAGACAAUUCUAUGUGCCAAUUCCUAUUUCUAUUUUUCCUAUGAUAAUCUAUUUACUAUUUGUUUUCUGGUGUCAUAAUUGCAAAUUUCUAUUUUUCUAGAAACUUAUGCAUCCCAUCUGUAUUACUUUCAUUUAUUGGUAGAGUCAAGGAAGACAGUAACUUAUGAUCCUUUCAAUUUCAUCUCUCUGUGGUUAGUUGCUUAUGCUCAUUUCUUUUCUUUCUUUCUUUUUUUUAUUAACAUUUAUUUAAUUUUGAGAGACAGAGACAGAGCACGAGUGGAGGAGGGGCAGAGAGAGAGGGAGACACAGAAUCCGAAGCAGGCUCCAGGCUCUGAGCUGUCGACACAGAGCCUGAUGCGGGGCUCGAACUCACAAGCUGUGAGAUCAUGACCUGAGCCGAAGUCGGAUGCUUAACUGACUGAGCCACCCAGGCACCCUGCUUAUGCUCAUUUCUAACUUUGUGCAUUGAGUAGGUAGGCUGAUGCUUUAUCUAUUUUUGUGGGUUUUUCCCCCUUCCAAUGAAGGAGCUCUUGGAUUUAUGUAUUAGUGCUACAUUUUUCCUCCUCUUUUCAAAAUUAGAAUUUCUGCUUUUAUUUGUAUUAAUUUUCAUUUUGUUCUCUUGGGUUUAUUUUGUUACUCUUUUUUUAAUGUUUUAUUUAUUAUUAUUAUUUUUUAAAUUUAAUGUUUAUUUAUUUUUCAGAGAGAAAGAGACAGUACAAGCAGGGGAAGGGAAGGGAGAGAGGGAGACACAGAAUCCAAAGCAGGCUCCAGGCUCUGAGGUGUCAGCACAGAGCCUGACGCGAGGCUUGAACCCACGAAUUGUGAGAUCAUGACCUGAGUCAAAGUCAGAAGCUCAACCGACUGAGCCACCCAGGCACUCCUAAUAUUUUAUUUAUUUUUGAGAGAGAGAGAGAGAGAGAGAGAGAGAGAGAGAAGGGGAGGGGCAGAAAGAGGGAGACACAGAAUCUGAAGCAGGCUCCAGGCUCUGAGCUGUCAGCACACAGCCUGAUGCAGGGUUUGAACCCACGAACCAUGAGAUCAUGAUCUGAGUUGAAGUUGGACACCUAACUAACUGAGUCACCCAGGUGACCCUAUUUUGUUAUUCUUUUUCAAAUAUCUUGCAUUAGAUGCCUAAUUCAUUUAUUUUCACAUUUUUUGGAUUAGUCAAAGUAUUUAGUGCUUCAAUGUUCUUCUGAGCAAUAGGCUUGAUAUCACAUGUAGGAGUUUCCGUUAUAUAUAAUGAUAACACCAUAUUCCCAUUUAUUAUAUAUUCUAAUAUGUAUUAAGUAAAUAUUUCCAUUAUACUUAAUUAUGAUAUAUUAUUUACUUAUUUUCUAGUUAUUGCUAGUUUUAGGGUUUGAGUUCCCUUUUGAUCCAAGAAUUAUUAAGAGUUAAAGCAUUUCUAGGUCAAGCAUUGGCUGUAUUACUCGUAUUUUGUGAAAUUACCUGAGGUUUUCUUUACGGUCUCAGAUAUGGUGAAUUUUUAUUGUGAAUUUCAUCCUUUUUUUUUUUAAGUUUAUUUAUUUAUUUUGAGAGAGAGAGAGAGACAGAGCAGGGGAGGGGCAGAGAGAGAAUAUCCCAAGCAGGCUCUGUGCUGUCAGCGCACAGCCUGAUGUGGAGUUCAAGGUGCAGUUCAUGCGAGGUCAUGACUUGAGCCGAAAUCAAGAGUCAGAGCCACCCAGGCACCUUGUGAAUUCUGUCCUUUAUCAUUACAAAGUGUCUUGCUUUCUGUCCUGAGAUCAGCCUUUACUGAUGUUAAGACUGAGACCCCCUGCUUUCAUUUGGCUUUUAUUUGCUUGGUUUGCUUUUGAAAUCUCAUGUUUUCAACCUUUCUGUACGACUUGGUUAAUACACAGCCUUCCCUUGGGGUUUCCUUUGUGAUUCAAUCUGAGAGACUAUUGUUUAAUAGAGGCGUUUUAUGGCAUUACUAUGACAUAUACAUGUUCUAAGUAUUCUUAGUCUGUCAUUACAUUUUAUGGUAUGCUUUUUGUGUUCAUGAAUUCUAGUUGUUUACUUUUUGAAAUCUUUUUACUAUAUGGUGUGUAUAUAUGUGUCUUUCUGGUAAGUGAGACAGUUUGUAAUUUUGUUUUAGUGGUAACAUCUUUAUAGAAGAAACUUCAAUAUAAUAUACGUAACCCUCUGUUUCUUAGAAUUUGCUAAGCUUCUUCCUCUCUCUCUCCUCUUUGCUACCUGACUUGGGUUUCUGCAUCUUUCAACUAAGAAUCCAAGUAAAGUCACUUUGUUUCCCAGUAGAUGGUGCUAGAGACACAAUAUAAAGAGCGUGCUUAAACCCUGAUCAGUUUUGGGAGAAUGAAUAGUUGUUUUUUUGGGUCCCUCAGGCCAUAAGGCCAAAUCCUGGAUGGUAGUUACUUACCUGUGUGCUACUGUCUUGUGAAGUUUGGGUGACCAACCACCUCUCACACCGAUUUUUUUUUUUAAUUUUUAAUUUUUUUAAUGUUUAUUUUUGAGAGAGAGAGAAAGAGGGCCAGCAGGGGAGGGGCAGAGAGAGAAGGAGACACAGAAUCUGAAACAGGCUCUAGGCUCUGAGCUGUCAGUACAGAGCCCAACAUGGAGCUUGAACCUAUGAACUGUGAGACCAUGACCUGAGCCAAAGUCGGAGGCCCAACAACUGAGCCAUGCAAGUGCCCCUCACACUGAUUUUUAAAAAGGCAAAAUGUUUCCUUAUGAAAAACUUAGUCCGGGAAAAAGCAGCAGCUGUUUUCAUGGGCUCAAGAAGACUGUAGUCUUACCAACUCAUAUUCUGAGUAUUAAUUUCUGUUAUGCUUUCCUCCCUAACUUUAUAUGGUAUUCACAAUAUUUAGUUCCUUAAAGCCAUACUUGACUCAAAAUCUGACCCUUAUGACAGUCCCAAUGUAAUAUUGCACAAGUCAGUCAAGAUUACUUAUUUCUCUUGACUUCAAGGUAAAAAUAAAGUCAUGGAAUGUUCAUGAAGGAGGGUUCUAGGGUCUAUUUCAGGUCUGUUUACCUGAUACUGAGCAAUCUACAAAUCAAUGUUAGCUUUUCUCUCUGUAAAAUGAAGCUAUUAUUUGCUGCCUAUACAUGACAUGGAAAUACUCAACAAAUGAAAUACUUGAAUGGUUUCAGGACAAUGGCAUAAAUAAACAGGCUAAAUUUGCGGAUGCAUCUAUAACACAAAGGAGAGCCUAGAGAGGGGGUAAGACUUCGAGAAUGGCAGAGAAGCCCUGACUUAAAACUGAGAAACUUCUAAAUGAGAUUUUUACUAAAUGAGAAGAAACAAAGAGAAAAGGUUCCAAUCUCUUUCCAGCCUCACGCCCUGACCUGUGGACCUCAUGUAUCUACUGAUCAGGCACAUGGAAAACUUUGGAAUUUGUCCCCCAGAUUCAUGCCUUCUUUGGGACCUUUCUCACAGCUUCAAUGUCUUCUGUGUCCCUGCUUCCCCCACAUCCUGGCAAAGUUGUUUAAGAAUACUUACUCUCCAAUGCCACUUCCUCUGAAGGAUUGUAGCCUCCACAGCUAGAACUAAUCUCCUUUUCUUUUCUUUUCUUCCCCCUUACCCCCCUGAUCUCCUUUUCUACUUUGUUCCUAUCACAUUUUGAACAUACUUUCUUCAAAACAUUUGUUGUUGUUGUUUUUUUAAAUUUUUUUUUUAAUGUUUGUUUAUUUUUGAGACAGAGAGAGACAGAGCAUGAAUGGGGGAGGGGCAGAGAGAGAGGGAGACACAGAAUCGGAAGCAGGCUCCAGGCUCUGAGCCAUCAGCCCAGAGCCUGACGCAGGGCUCGAACUCACGAACGGUGAGAUCAUGACCUGAGCUGAAGUCGGACGCUCAACCGACUGAGCCACCCAGGCGCCCCAAACAUUUGUUGUUUUAAGACAUAACCAUACGAUUAUAUCAAGCUCCAAGAGGGUAUGAAUUGUGUCCUUUUUAUCUUUGUACCUUCUGAGCAUGAAGCGAGCCUUCACUUGAUUGAAAGAUGGAUGGAUGAAUGAAGUAGAGGCAGAAAAAACAGGGCCAACUGUGAAUGUCAUAGCAUCCUGUGACAAAGUCAGAAAGAUCUAGAAAAGGCCUUAGGAAUUACCUCAUCCAGUCCCCUCGCUUUGCAGAUGAGAAGACUGGGACCCAGACAGCUAAAGGGACUUGCCCAAGGUGACACAUCUCCAUAGUGUCAAAGUCUCCAGGCCUCUCACCCCAGAGUGACUUGGUAACAGCCUUUUCCACCCCCAAGCCCUCAAGUGUUCGUGAGUUCUCAAAGAAUUUGGAAAAUCAAUGUGCUGUUAUUCUAAUUUUGGUCUAUCUGCAUAUGUGACUUUGUGCUUUGGUGCUAAGAAUAGAAGACAUCAAAAUAGCGCUCUCAGCAACGCUGAGUGUACAGAAAAUUGAAGCGGAAAUGGAAAGGGUGCCCUCAGAGAGGAUGUCACAUCACCAGACUUUGGUUUUGAAGCCACCAGAAAGCAGAGAGAAGCUGUUGUUUUGAAGAGAAUUUCUUCAGCUACUGAAGGUUGGCUGAGUGUGCAUUAAGGCCUGAGCAGCAAUGCCACAUGCCUGGCAGAUGAUGGGCUCUGACCCAAAGAUAUGAGGUUACAGCUCUGGGGCAGAUGAGCAGCCUGAGCUCUUUUCUCUGCCUGAUGGCCCCAGUGCCCGACUCUCUGAGGAAACGAACAGAUGGUCACUGCAAGAGUCACUGAAUCUCCACAUUCAUUCAUUUUUUGGCGACCUUGGCCAGCCUCGGAACAGUCAGUCAAAUCUGCAUAAGGAAGCUGGCGGUAAUGGGGCUCGUGGGCACAGGUACUCAUCUGACACCUAAUUAAGUCAUCUUGGUAUAUCAUCUCUACAAUGCCUGUUAUUAUUUUAAGAAACAACAUAAAGAGAAUGAUAAUUAAAAGUAACACCCCGGGUGGGAAUUUUGUCUCCAUUCCAGUGGUUGGCAAGUUAAAGCACCCUGGGUUUUUUUGUUUUGUUUUGUUUUGUUUCGGUUUUUUUUGAGGUAACAUUUCUAUAAAUUUUCAUAGAGCACACAACCUCAAAGCUUGUCUCUGCUGCAGUUUCCCCCGAUUUCUCUGCCAAUGCUUUGGGUUUGUGGCUUCGUUCCACUGCUGUUUCCUUUCUUUUUUUCUUCUCCUUUUCACUGAGCGUUUUCUGAUUUUACUUGAACUUGCAAUGGGGGAGGGGAGGGUGUAUUGCUUCUGGAUAUUACAUGUCAUCUGAAGCAUAAAAUGCUAAACCCAGUUACAUGUUGUUUUCAGGUGAGAAGGCAAUUUUACACCUCACGGUUGGGCCCACACGAGGCAUUUUCAUGCAGGGAAAUUUUUCAUCCUAGACUCACAUCAAGAUGGCGCCGAGGGAUUUGCUGCCAGUGGAAAGUUUGCCCACUGUCUGCAGCCUUUCCGCAUGGGCAUUCUUGAUAGACCUGUUCUCCAGAGUGCCGCUAUCUACCCCUGGUCUUCAGGUUCCCCUGACAUAGCGUCCAUCAGGUCCCUGUGUCCUUUGCUACCUGCCUGGGUCCUGUGUCUAUGACUUGAGCCACUUUGGUUAGUAACACUCUUACUGACCUGCCACACACCCUGUCCUCUUGUCCCUUGUACCAGACCAAACCCCACCUUUGGAUCAUCCCACAAUCCACCUUCUCUGCUGCUGACGUGAAUCUGGAGAAAACUCCCAGUAGUACCAACUGAAGCCACCACCGAUUCCUGAUCACAAUCCUCACCUGGCAUCCUUUGACAAACACUUUACUUGCCCUCAAUCGUCUCCUUUGCCCCUAAAAACCCUCUUCCUUGACCCUGUAUCUCCACCUCAUGGAAACACCCCGUCUUCUUCCUUUCACAGAUUUCUGAAAGUGUAUCCAACACCAGCGGCUCCCAUGAGCUCAGUAGGUCGCUUAUACAGAUUCCCAGGCCCCACACUAAAGCAAAUCUCUGAGGGUAGGGACUGAGAUUUGUGUUCAAGAACGUUGUCUUCAUUGGGAACUACUCAUCGGCCUAUACUCCCUGACUUUCCUUCCUCACUUUCAGUUGCUUCUCCAGCUGUCACAGCCUGGCUUCUACCCUCACCACUCUGUGAAACGAGGUCAGCAGGAACAGCCAUGACAGCCCGCACACUCCCAGGUCUCCCCAGAGAGAGUACUCUCUGGAGUACUGAUGUUCUUGGUCACUCCAAGACUUCCGGUCACCUCCUCUCUUCCUUUGCCUUCUACCUCUGACCAUCUCCCUCAGCGCCUUUUGUGUAAGCUUUUCUUGCACCUUAAAUACUGGCAGUGUUUUCACAAGUGCAUCUCGCACUCCUUGUUGCUAGAUCCUCAGAGACACUAAGAAACUUCUUGAAGCUCAAGGUGAUCUUGAGAAAGCCUCCUCCUACCAUUGCCUCUUUCACUGUCCUAACUACCUUAGAUUCUUCACUGCCUGUGAGCUUCUCAAGGGCAGAGACUUUUCAAUCAUCUUUCCAUGGUCAGUGCCUCAGGAAGCAUGUAGCAAUUAGGAGGCGCUCCAUAAAUGUUAGUACACGUCUGCUCUGAGUACUCAUGUGAAUCAGCCUUGGGCCCAUGGUGCGAAGCUCAAAGUUACCUCUCAGCCCCUUCAGAACGGGGUGACCUUGAAGGUAUGAAUUAGAGCCAGCCCCUGUCCAGACCCGGGGUGGGGAGGGGUGGGUGUUAAACAGCGGCUCUCCAAAGGUGGUAGUCAGAGCUCUAGCAAAUAACAUCUCUUCUGGCAAAUUUACUUGUUGUUAGUCUCAAAUGUUCAUAGGAAUGACAUCAUGCCUGGCCAAGUGCUAAUUUCUAAGCUUUCUUCCUGCCAAAUUUCCACCAUGCUGGCUCAUGCUUGCCAAUCUCGUAGCAGUGAUGUGUUUUCUAGCAGGGAACACAAGUAUUGCUUUGGGAGUUAUUCUGGAGCCUCAUAAAACUGUUCUUGGGGCCCCUUUAUAGGGAAGGAUUCCAUAAUGCACCCGGUUGGAGAGUGUUAUUGCUAUCAGGAGAGGUCCUUACAGUUUCUGUAGUGAACAUCCUUGAAUACUGUCUAGGACGGGCCUGUCAUUGAAGAAACAUCUCUAACUAACACCCCAUAAGUUCCAAUAUCAUGUUUCGGGUUUUUAGUGUCAUUCAAACCCUUUCCUGAAUAACACCAGUCCUAUUUCUUUGAGCACAGGACCUGUACUAUAUUCAUGGCUGUAGGUUCUCCACAUAAGCAGGGCGUAUCUGUUUUGUUCAACAUUGCUUCCCUGGGGCUGGCAUAGCACCCGGCAUAUAGCAAGUACUUGGUGUCAGUUGGUGAUGGAGAACGGAAAAAGAAGAAACUUGGGGAGCUGGAGGUGCUUGUCUCCAGAACUGUGGAGCUGAAGGUGACAACCAGGACACCAUGCUCUGGCUUCCCACUUACGGUGAGGCCCCAGGGUUCCUGCCUGCUCCUACCCUUCAUGGACUGAUGGCCAGGCCUGGAGUCUUGACGGCACCUAGGGCUGGUGGAUAUUGAAAGGCAAGUUCAAUCAUCUGGUCAGGCAGGAACUGGAAAGCUGCCCAUCCAACCCUCACCCCUGGCUGCUGUUUCUCCUCCAGACAGAAACUUGGGGAAGUUUCUUUCCUUCUGGGUGUGCCGUCUCCUUCCUCUAGCUAAUCUUCUAGCUUCCUUCCAAAACUGUAUUGGUGAUGAAUUAGCAAAAUAAAAAAAUCUAAAGCCACCCUGAAGAUUACAAAAAGAAAAACAUACUACUGCUAAAUCUCUAAAACAAUGGCUGUCUUUAUAUACAAUGAUACAUAGUAGGAUAACCAUAACCUAUCAUUACCUUAAGAGAGGAGAGAAGACCAGACCCUCUGUGGACCAAGGUGAUGUGAUCAACUCAUACAGGGUUUUACACAGAAUUUCAGGGGCCCGUGAAUCCCCUGAAGAUCUCUCAUCAUCUUCCCAGACAUACACGUAUGGACCCUGGUUAUGAAUAUCUAGGUUAGAGAUUUCACGGGGUCUUUGACUCAGUGUUAGAAACUGACAGGACCUCAGAGUUCAAGUGAUGUGACCCUCAUCUGAUGAGAGUUAGCAGAUUAGGUAUGAGGCCCAGAGAGUUUUUCUGGCUGACUUAAAGAGCGCACAGCUGGUGGACAGCAGAAGGGAGACCUUCACCUAGGUUUUCUGAAUCCUGGUCACCCUGCAAUAUUGUGUUAAUAUGCUCUGAGGAAAACAAAUGUCAAGAAGGGAGAAGAAUGGACAGAGACUGAGUAUAGGGAAAAGAAGGAAUAUCUGUUCCUAGAAUGUACAGACUGGCUAUUACUGGGUUUCAUUUUUGUGUUUGGCAGAGUUUUCCAGCUUCGAGCCAAAGAGACCAAGCCUGAAGUUCCCUUCCAGCCCCCUACUUCAGACCUGUAACUGAAUCCUGAUAGGUCAUCUCAGGCAGACCGGUGAAGGGGAAGAUAAGAAAGAAGAAAAGCAAAGAUGCUGGAGUCUUGCAGCCUAACAACACACGAGGGAUAUUGUUUGCCUGGAAGCCUCCAGGGAUGGCAAAAUGGCAGAAAUUUCCAGUGGGGAAAAUGUGGGGUGGGGGGGUGGGGGUGCUAAAUUAUUUGAAUGGGACCCUUUGAAGGCUUCUGCUACCCCUACACCUGCUGAGGCUUUCCACUGAGCUUUGGGAAAAGGCUAGCUUUUCAUAGCAGAGCAGAGAAAGGGGGAGAAUGAAGGAGGCACGUAAUGCAGGCUGUUGUCUUCUGUGUUUUACUGACUGAAAGGGCUGAAGACAUUUUAUAUGCUCCAAGUUGCCAACAGGAAGAAAGGGAGCUCGAGAUUCUCCGAGGUCUGAGGGCCCUGCCUGAGGUAG